GCGCGGGUGGUGAAAUGGUAGACGCGCUGGCUUCAGGUGCCAGUGUCCGCAAGGACGUGGGGGUUCAAGUCCCCCCUCGCGCACCA
Molecule: transfer RNA, 86 nt
Filed under: Parahaemophilus parainfluenzae
Lineage: Bacteria; Pseudomonadati; Pseudomonadota; Gammaproteobacteria; Pasteurellales; Pasteurellaceae
Also listed under: 1 other name
Description: Haemophilus parainfluenzae tRNA-Leu
Rfam family: tRNA
About the family: Transfer RNA (tRNA) molecules are approximately 80 nucleotides in length. Their secondary structure includes four short double-helical elements and three loops (D, anti-codon, and T loops).
Source: RNAcentral